CCUACGGGGGGCAGCAGUGAGGAAUAUUGGUCAAUGGGCGUAAGCCUGAACCAGCCAAGUCGCGUGCGGGAUGAAGGUUCUAUGGAUCGUAAACCUCUUUUAUAAGGGAAUAAAGUGCGGGACGUGUCCCGUUUUGUAUGUACCUUAUGAAUAAGGAUCGGCUAACUCGGCGCCAGCAGCCGCGGUAAUACGGAGGAUCCGAGCGUUACCCGGAUUUAUUGGGUGUAAAGGGUGAGUAGGCGGCCUUUUAAGUCAGCUGUGAAAUUCUGUGGCUGAACCAUAGAAUUGCCGUUGAAACUGGAAGGCUAGAGUAUGUUUGAGGCAGGCGGAAUGCGGGGUGUAGCAGUGAAAUGCGUAGAGAUCACGAAGAACCCCGAUGGCGAAGGCAGCCUGCCGAGCCAUGACUGACGCUGAUGCACGAAAGCGUGGGGAUCAAACAGGAUUAGAUACCCGAGUAGUC
This 460-nucleotide ribosomal RNA is filed under the name uncultured bacterium. RNAcentral's name for it is "partial 16S ribosomal RNA". It matches the Rfam family "Bacterial small subunit ribosomal RNA", at positions 338 to 795 of the family's 1533-position model. The record is from RNAcentral.